This 4325-nucleotide ribosomal RNA is filed under the name Triticum aestivum (bread wheat). RNAcentral's name for it is "partial small subunit ribosomal RNA". The record is from RNAcentral. Lineage: Eukaryota; Viridiplantae; Streptophyta; Magnoliopsida; Poales; Poaceae.
GGGUGGACCAAGCCGAGCCCUAGAAAAUAUCUGGGCUGGCUCCUCUCCUUCCUCUCUCCCUCCGCGCCGCCUCCUCUCCUCUUCGUGCGCGGCGGCGUCUCGUCAUCCCCAGCCCCCACCUCCCAACCCCUUGCUCCCGCACGAACCCUAUCAGAGAGAGAGAAGAUGAGAGGGAGAGAGAAGGAAGGAGAGGAGAGGCGGGAGAAAGAGAGAGGAAAGAGGAGAGGGAGGUGUGGCAGCUGACAGGAGAGGGUCACCGGCCAGCGUCGGCCUGCGCUGGCGAGGUCGGGCACGACCUGGCGGUUGGCGGCGGCUCGACCCGUUCCUAAAUCAGGAGCUGCGAGGAGGCCGGGGCUGGGGCGUGAUGCACGGGAGGCUCCACCCCGCCUCCAUCUCUACGCGUGCAGCAGCGACCCCGGAGGAGCUCAAGCCACAUCCGUGGUCCACGUCGCCGUCGUCGGCAGGAGGAGCGUGGGUCGCAGAGAUGGCCGGCUCAGUCCAGCUUUCGCGUUGCCGUCCAUCCACCCGAGACACCAGUCCCCGCGUCCUGACGUACAUCCUCUCUCGCUGUCACACACACUCUCUCUUCCGUCCUCUCACGCACGUCCUCGUGGCCGGAUAUUUGGUAAUUUCUUUUCUGAGCAUAAAUAGAUAUUGUGCCCCCACCUGUUUGUUGUUUUGCCCAGCUGAAAGGUGGAUCAAAUAUGAAAUACGUGAACGUUCCAUAGUGUGAAAAGCAAGCCAUGGUCUUGUUAAAGUUCCGUUGAAUUUCUGUGAUACCUAAGAAGUAUUAAUGCUCAUAUUUUUGCAAUUUGCUCUCCACAACUUUCAGUCACUGGUUCUUGAGGAAAGCAGGUAAUGCAUUUUGUUUGUGUCAACUAUACUGAAUAUGCAAAGCCUUUUUUAUCUUCAGAGAAAUUCACACUCUGCAUUAGUUGCAAAAGAUGUUGAUUUUGAUCUUAACAAUUGCAGGGAACUAUGAGACUUGCACAGUUUGGGCAGCGUCAGCACAACAUGCAGAGUUUCUGUUCAAGUAGUAGCAGACCAGCAAAGCACGGACGAGGAGAUCCAGGUCACGGGCCAUCCCCAUUUAGGUAUGAAUAUCGUUGCAAUUAGCAAGCAACCCUGAUGGAAGAAGCUAGCUACAUGCCUAGAUUGAUGCGUUCCGAUCUAUGUCAAUUAUAAGCUCCACAAGAAAAUAGCAAACUUUUGUAUCGACCGGGCGCAUCAGUGACUUGACGGGGAUAGCAAGACACAUAGAAGAAUAUAAAGCAUCAAGGUAGCAACUCAUUGGUUUUUGCUCCGAGCUGAUGCAUACUACUUUGCUUGCAGCCAUCGUCAACCAUUGUUGCUGGUAUCAUCACUUUUUUAGAACCAAAGAAAUAUUGCUUUUCAACUCAGAUGUGUGUUAGGUGAUGUUGCAUGCCAUUUUUGUUCAUCGACCUGACAUGAUUUGGAUUGGUGCAGAGGUCGGUGUGAAUGAAAAGCUAGCUUCUGAAGACGCAGUCGAUUAUUAUUGCCUAUUUUUCUAUUGAAAGGUGUUGCUUCUUUUAUCUUGACAGUCGAUGUCUGCUGGACCUGCCAGUUCUCAGGUGGAAGGUGGUGACUAGCAGCGCGCACGUGGACAAUGAUUGGGAUGGUGCUAUUACCCGUGCACAGGACUGCCUAAUGUCUAUUCUGGGAAUGGUUAUUUCCCUGCUCUUGCAGACAAAUCACCUGAUUUGAACUGUGUACGAGAUAAAGUUAUGCAAGCUUCUGCGUGCUCGGAGUCCCCACUCUCAUGUUGUUGGAGCAGUGACAUACAUGUGGCGGCUAUCCUCAAUAGGGAGUAGCAAAUUGGAGGCCAAAGAAGAAAAUUUUUUCAAUUCUGAAACUAAAUUUAGUGAAGGAGGCCGAAGUUCAUUACAACGCCAAUAUGGAUCCAUCCUAUUGCGUUGGGUGAAGGUCUAGAUGCAAUAAAAAUUGCACGUAGCAAACAUGUGCUUCCUCUAUAUCUGUACAAUCAGAGUUCUCGCUUUUCUUUGUGUGAUCUUUGUUUAUCCUUUUUGUUGUGUUUAUGUUGCCUACAUUCAGUCGACUUCAAGUUAACCUGUCCAUUUAUUUUUAUUCAGAUAGUUCAGAUGUCUAACGUUUAUAGCAUACACAUCAGUCUAGGGUUAACAAUAGUAGAAUAAAUCUUUCCAUAUAUCAUGAUUCAUAUGUGAGUCUCCCUGUCUGAGUAUAACCAUGAGUUGACAUGCUAUUAUUAACAAGAAGAUAUAAAUCAAUUUUGUUGUUUCAUCGUUGAAAGAUCAUUAGUAAUUUAUCAGAGUCUAUUCUGUCGUUUCAUGAUUUUAACAUAAAGUUAGUAGUUUGCCAGUUCUUAAAUUCUACCGAGGGACACCCAUCUACUUAAUAAGAAUAUCUUGACACUCCACAUUAUCUGAAAGGAAAAGCUUAUCAGCUGUUAAUUUGCUUAAUUUAUCUUAUGCAAGUCAGGGCUUACUUAUUUAUGACAAUUAUAAAAAACAAUUUUCUUACAUGUAGUAACAAUAACCUUACUCUUUUAUCACCAUUCAAUGUGUGGCCUCACACUGCAGAUGCAAGAUUCCGGUGUUCUGAAGUCAUGGGAUGCAACGCUAUGCAAUCUCUUAACAGUAUAUUGCACCCAGUUAGCAAGGAUGAUACAAUCAAUCCAACUGUUACCUUUAGGAUGCUUUUUGGAUGGACUAAUCUGAAGAUGCUGGCUAGCUUACACCGCCAUCAUACAGUCUAGAAGUACAGGGAAAAUAAAGGUGCAAUGAGCCCAAUAUAUUUUACUUUUUGGCAAAGUUUUGGUGCUUGCCCAAGAAAGUAACACCUAUUAAACCUACUAAUCCUUUUUCCCAGGCAAUUCGCCAUCUGGAGAAAUACCAACUAAUACAUUUUUGUACUUUCUUUGUUGCAGAGGCAAAAAUACUACUGCUUUUUGAAAGCUUUUUUGUUGCAUGUUCCCCUUUCUUAAUCUUCUAUUUGUUCAAAUGUACAUACCUGAGCUUAUAAUCAUUAUUACACAAUGAAUCUCACCAUUCUAUUGUUUUCCUGAAAAUUUAUACUCACAUAGUUCUAUUUUCUUAUUAGUGAUCUUCUGUUUGGCCUUCAUUUGGUGUGCAUAUAGCAUGGGAUAUUAUAGGCAUAUUUUUUCUCUCUAUUUGUUCAUGCACUAAUGCAUAAAUCUUUUGGUUAUGCUCUUAUUAUUUAGUCUAGAGCUAUGCAAUAACAACCAUGGCUUUAGUGUUCUGGUGAAUGCCAUAUAGAGUGAAGAACCCUUGGCAUCUUAUCUAAAUUCUUUAAUCCUAUUAUGCAUGCCCAGAUUAAAGGUAUAAAUACCUUAUAUCAGUAUCUUAUUUAGCCUCUUCUGACUAUUGACUGUUUGAACUGUUGUAGUAGGACUCAAGCUUUCAAAGUUAUUAGGCAUGUGGACAUGUUUUUGUUUUAGUUUGUACAGUUUUGUGUUCUUUUGGCUUCAGGUUGCUCUUGUAGAGAAAACAUAGUAAACUCAGAUGAUUGGAUUAGAAAAUACUCUUCAGCAUCUGAAACAUCUAAAGGCGGUCACUCAAGUAAGUAUCCUAUACAAUAUACCCAGCUGGAUGAUUGGAGUAGUACCAGCUGCUAUGUAUCACUCAGAUGAUUAGUGCUCCUGCGUUGAACCACUCAGCUAAGUAUCAACACUGCCCUCGAGACUUGGCUAUUAGCAUAGUAGCAACGAGCUCACAAAAAAAAUCUAUAGAUUCAUCAAACACCAAGGAGAUAGUUCUUACCUGAGCGGCAAUAGCGGCUACCAUAGUCUUGCUGGAGCAUCCCUUCCCAUGAAAAGUUACCGACUUCAGGGAGUGCCAGCACAGCCAAAUCACCGGUACGAGCAACAGCGGCACCAUUUGCCGGUUCUGCGGCUCCAAGCUACAGCAGUAGCCGCCGUGCCACCAAGAAGCAGAUGGAGCUGCAGCAUGAGCCGCUCUGCGGCCAAGCUGCAGCGUCAGCCACCAAGAUGGAGCCCAAAGUGUCGCCGUCCGCCUCCACCAGGUGGUUUCUCACUUAGGUACGAGUAGAAUGGGGAAAGGAACGGGAUGAGGACGAUGAACUGAUGGUGGAUGGAACAAGACCAACAGUCGACCACGUGGUGACCUGUUGUGUUACAUGUGUGACGCAUGUGUAUAAGUGUCCAUACUGUGGGGUUCUUUGUCCCAAUGGCACAAUUGUAAUUUUGUUUUUCUUGCUAAUUUGUACUACAUGUACUGUCAUGAGCUACACCGUUUCAUGCAAUCUACUCCUACUUAUCUUAAACUUCCAUUUAGCUUGUAUCAUAU